Molecule: transfer RNA, 65 nt
Filed under: Dipodomys ordii (Ord's kangaroo rat)
Lineage: Eukaryota; Metazoa; Chordata; Mammalia; Rodentia; Heteromyidae
Rfam family: tRNA
About the family: Transfer RNA (tRNA) molecules are approximately 80 nucleotides in length.
Source: Rfam by way of RNAcentral
GGUGGCUCAGUAGUAGAGUGCUUGCCUUGCAUGCAUGAGGCUCUGGGUUCAAUUCCUCAGCACCA